GGGUGUCUGCCCCUGACUCAGCCUCUCAGAGCAAGUCACUGAUGUUCCAGCACACCUGAGCCAGCAUGAGCUCUGGCAGCAGCACUGGAAGGUACAUGGGAGGCGGGGCCUUUACGGUACUCUACAGUCGGUCGUUUCCAGGAAAGGAAGACGCUUUUCAUUUAUCCAACCAAUAUGUAUUGAGCACUAUUUUGUGUUGGGCACUGUUCUGAACUGUGCAGAUUCAACAGUGAGCAACAUUCCGUCCCUUAGGCCACCACGAUUGAUUCAAGGAGAGGCUGGUGACCCAAGGUGGGCUGAUGAGCAUCAUGCCAGCUCCUGGCAAAGCAUCUCUCUCUUUCCGAGAUAGCAGGCACUAAGAACUGUUGGCGCCUGGAGCAUCUUUGCCACCAAUCGAAGGGAGCCUGGCCAAAGAAGAAAAUGAGCAGGGAAAAGAAGACCCAAGAGAUGGAGACAGAAAGUGACUGUAUCAUGAGGACACCAAGCCCCUGGAUACAACCAUGCCUGAAGCUUAAACUACAUUCAGACUUUGCAGUUUGUACGAGCCGAUAUAUUCCUUUUCCUGCUGGAGCCAGUUUUAGUGGAGUUUGCACGACUUACAGCUAAAACAGUUCCAACAAAUCCAAGGUUGGAGAGAGAAAGUAGUUAUUUCUCCUAGCAAACUGUGGUGUCCUUCAGCUAAAGAACUUGGUGUUAGUCACCUUUUUAUCCCUCAGUGCACUGUCCCUUAGAUGUAAGAAUUUAAGAAGUGCUUGUGAAUGUAAUAACACUGAAGGAAAUGGUAAAGAACUCGGUAAAGAAUGCAAUCGCGGCAGAGAUACAAGUGGAAGGGACAGCCGGGCCACAACAAGAGGCUUUUGUGCCUCAAGGAUAUAGUUCCAGGAAAAUAAAACCAAGUGGAGUCCUGACUUCAAAUCCUGAUACUUGGUAUCUUCACGCCUUUGGGUAAACCAGGCUACAACAUAGCUACGACGUGUCGUAAGCUCACACGGACGCACUGCUGGAUCGCCAUGUACCGAUGUUCAAGUUCCCACGGUGCAAUCCCUGUUGUUUUUCUGAAGCAGCACAGGUGCGCCCUUUUUUUUUGCUUCCCCAAAAGAUCUGAACUGCCCUUUGCCUCUCCCGAGCCUGCCGGACUAGACUUACAAGUGCUAGACCCUGCAAUAGUGUUCUUUUUGAGAGUCAGAAGAUUUUGCAUUUGAACCCAGCUCUGCCACUUAAAAACCACGUGCCCUCGGAGAAGUUCCUUAUACUGUCUUCUCGGUAUCCUUCUCAAGUGAAGACCAGUGUGGGAGAAGUGUGCAGCACAGACAGGGAAGAGGAGGGAAUGACAAGAGAAUGACAGCAGCUGGAGGCACCUACAAGCAGCCAGGCACUUGAGAAUUGACUGGACAUUUGGUGACAAUGGUAACAACAGAGCACAAUUGCUGGGUUAUGUCCCGACUGCUUCACCCCAGUCCUUCAGUAUGAAUCCUUACUCUCCCCAUUUUGUAAAUGAGGAAAAUGAGGCACAGAAGGGAUAAGUGACGUGCUUAGGGUCUCACCCAGCUAUUAAGUGACAGAGACAGGAUUGUGGCCCCAGCUUCCUGUGGCCAGAGUUCAUGUUUUCAAUCCCUGAGCCCUCUGGCCUCUGCACACCUGGAGAGAAAUGGGAUGGGGUUCUAAAGAGGCAAGUUAUACACCGGAAUUUGGGGGAUAGUCUCUAUUUCAAACAAUGUCUUGAAUUCCUUGAAGAACGUGAAACGGGGCCCCUGAUCUGGAGGCUGGUACCCGCCCUGAGGACGUGGCGUUCUCCGGCUGAACAUCAACGAGUUCAGAGAAUACUCACGUCGGACAAGACUGCUGUGAUCACGAUGGAUCGCGACAAAAGUAAGGCAAGCAGCUAUUUAUGUCUGAAGACACACAAACCACGAACGUCGCCCAAAACACAGGAAUGACCAAACACGGCCCUAAACGUAUUAUUCCUCCUGCCUGAUUGACAAGAAUGCUCGAGCCCCUUUACCGAGUCCUCUGUUUCCUGAAAGUGUCCAAUCCAGAGCAAAGCCUCGCUUCCUUGAACCCACCCUCAAAUCGCCUAAUACCCAAAGCCUAUAAUAAAUAAUUUUUGAAAGCA
This is a long non-coding RNA of Herpailurus yagouaroundi (jaguarundi), 2113 nucleotides long. RefSeq lists it as uncharacterized. NCBI's taxonomy places the organism in Eukaryota, Metazoa, Chordata, Mammalia, Carnivora, Felidae. The transcript is spliced from 5 exons. The record is from RefSeq and is a predicted model, not a curated record.